ACAACACGGGUCGCGUGACAGAGUCCC
Molecule: small RNA, 27 nt
Filed under: Bombyx mori (domestic silkworm)
Lineage: Eukaryota; Metazoa; Arthropoda; Insecta; Lepidoptera; Bombycidae
Description: ovarian small RNA-10919
Source: RNAcentral